Molecule: ribosomal RNA, 484 nt
Filed under: uncultured bacterium
Lineage: Bacteria
Description: partial 16S ribosomal RNA
Rfam family: Bacterial small subunit ribosomal RNA
Source: RNAcentral
AUUGAACGCUGGCGGCAGGCCUAACACAUGCAAGUCGAGCGGAUGAAGGGAGCUUGCUCCUGGAUUCAGCGGCGGACGGGUGAGUAAUGCCUAGGAAUCUGCCUGGUAGUGGGUGAUAACGUCCGGAAACGGGCGCUAAUACCGCAUACGUCCUGAGGGAGAAAGGGGGGGAUCUUCGGACCUCACGCUAUCAGAUGAGCCUAGGUCGGAUUAGCUAGUUGGUGGGGUAAAGGCCUACCAAGGCGACGAUCCGUAACUGGUCUGAGAGGAUGAUCAGUCACACUGGAACUGAGACACGGUCCAGACUCCUACGGGAGGCAGCAGUGGGGAAUAUUGGACAAUGGGCGAAAGCCUGAUCCAGCCAUGCCGCGUGUGUGAAGAAGGUCCUCGGAUUGUAAAGCACUUUAAGUUGGGAGGAAGGGCAGUAAGUUAAUACCUUGCUGUUUUGACGUUACCAAAAGAAUAAGCACCGGCUAACUUCGUG